UUUUGACCCGAUGGAUCGGGUUUAAUCGCUUGAGGUGGCAGAGACGCAUUGUUUGAAGACGCAUUACCUUGGAAUCUGUUAAAUGAUGGGUUUUGCGAUGGAAAUGAUGGGAAUCUAUUGCCGUAGGGUGUGUGCUGAACUGAAGGAAAGGGUUUGUAUGGUGGUCUAGAAUUUUGCCAGCUAUUUUGUGGUUUAUUUAAGGCUGGUUUUUGAAAAGUGACUGGUUGUUUAGGGAACUUAUCCUUUUUUCGUUGAGACGCGUUGUACUGCUCUAUUGCGCUUUGAUGCGCUUCAUUCAAUGAGGCCGGACGAGACACUCUAGUGAGUGUCGAGUAGGGUUCGUUCAAACCAUCAAUAUACGCGUUGGUUACCAUGUAUUCAUAGCUUGUUGCUAGUGGUUUAGCACACGCCGCCGUGUCGUUGUCGAGAGAAAUCUUGGCUAUUAUAUCCGCCAAAAGUUCUCUGCAUUCAUUAUAGAAAUCGGUAAUGCUUCUCGAGCCUUGUUGAAGGUAUGAUAUUUUGGUGACAAGUGUACCGAGAUCUCUCUUGUCCCCAAAAUAUUCUCUCAAAGUGCUUUGUAUAUCAGCCCACACAACCGGAGUAUGGUUUGACACCAAAGCUUCGUUAGCUUUAUCAACGAUUUUGUCUCGUAUGAUGCUAGUCCAUAGGGGCAUAGCACGAUCGAUGUCUUGCUGUGACGGGCAAGUUGCUUCCGCAAAUUUAAUUUUAUCUUCGACUGAUUUCAGCCAGGUUGCUAGUAAUUUGGGGUCGCCGGCAUACGGUACGACCAUUUUAAUUGCAUCAGGAAUCUUAGAUGCGUCAAAGUUUGUAGGUAACACUACUGAAGGGACAGGUCGGACCGCCGAAGCCUGCCUAAUUUCCUCCAAAUUUUGUAUUUGGAGCCGUUGAGCCUCCAUUUGGUUGGUGAGUUCAUCAACCAACCUUUGUAAAGCCUCCAUAUUCCUAGUUAUCAUACACUUUAUUCACUUCUUAUAACUAACACUGAAUAGAUAAAAAAAGAUCACUUACCUCGAGUCGACUGGUAUGCAGCCAGCGACGCCAAGAGCGGGUAAGAUGAUUUGGUGACUUCAGUCCCUUGGUGUGAACCGGGAUUUAGAGCGAUGUGGUUCUCUGCGGGGGCGGCGAUUUAUCUCCGUUGCACUUUCACCGGUCACUGGAUGAUCCGCGCACUGCACUUAAACCGAUUUUCCAACGCACUCAACGAAUUGCGAUAAUUGCUUAAUGAGUCUUCCUGAUCGCGGCAGGCACACUUGAUUUCCGAACGCGGUGGUAGUACUAGGAUUCACCUCCCCGGCAGAAUAGACUGCGCCAGCUUUGAGUUCGGCUUUAGGAUCGGGUUUUUUAAAAAACAAAACAGAACUGCACUCGUCGAUUAAUGAACAAAGACUGACUGUCGUUUAUUAUUUUAAGCUUACAAAGGCCUGGCUAGGAAGAGGAAUGGUUCCCUGGCUAAUUUACCAUAUGCGUAAUUGGAUCGCGUCGUCCGGUGGCGCGAUGCUGACAUGCUGGUUUCAGUAAGGUUGAAGACAGGUGUGGAUUCCGUGGAAACUGCUGAUCUUGCUCAUCGUCCGUUGUGUGGCUCGUUCAAAGUUGCUAGCGAUGUUGCUAACUGUUGUUGUUGUUGUUGGAUGUCUCCUAGUUGGCUAAGUAUGGCUUCUUCGGAGUUGGGGCAAACUGAUGCGAUAACUUAUAUAU
Molecule: long non-coding RNA, 1716 nt
Organism: Aedes albopictus (Asian tiger mosquito)
Lineage: Eukaryota; Metazoa; Arthropoda; Insecta; Diptera; Culicidae
Exons: 2
Source: RefSeq, a predicted model, not a curated record